GACGAACGCUGGCGGCGUGCUUAACACAUGCAAGUCGAACGGUAAGGCCCUUCGGGGUACACGAGUGGCGAACGGGUGAGUAACACGUGGGUGAUCUGCCCUGCACUUCGGGAUAAGCCUGGGAAACGGGGUCUAAUACCGGAUAGGACCACUGCCUGCAGGGGUGGGGGUGGAAAGCUUUUGCGGUGUGGGAUGGGCCCGCGGCCUAUCAGCUUGUUGGUGGGGUGAGGGCCUACCAAGGCGACGACGGGUAGCCGGCCUGAGAGGGUGACCGGCCACACAGGGACUGAGAUACGGCCCAGACUCCUACGGGAGGCAGCAGUGGGGAAUAUUGCACAAUGGGCGCAAGCCUGAUGCAGCGACGCCGCGUGAGGGAUGACGGCCUUCGGGUUGUAAACCUCUUUCAGCACCGACGAAGCGCAAGUGACGGUAGGUGCAGAAGAAGGACCGGCCAACUACGUGCCAGCAGCCGCCGUAA
Molecule: ribosomal RNA, 478 nt
Filed under: uncultured bacterium
Lineage: Bacteria
Description: partial 16S ribosomal RNA
Rfam family: Bacterial small subunit ribosomal RNA
Source: RNAcentral